RNAcentral lists this small RNA (121 nucleotides) under Flavobacterium aquaticum. RNAcentral describes it as "Flavo-1 RNA". It matches the Rfam family "Flavo-1 RNA". Lineage: Bacteria; Pseudomonadati; Bacteroidota; Flavobacteriia; Flavobacteriales; Flavobacteriaceae. The record is from RNAcentral.
CCCUAGCCCAGAUGGUAGCGGCAUCCUUUUUGUUUUUCGAGCAUUUCUUUUACAAUGAAAUAACGAAUUGUUUUUAGAAUUCGAUAAAAACAAAAAGAUAUAGCGAACAGCUGGAAAAAGC